This 503-nucleotide ribosomal RNA is filed under the name uncultured bacterium. Its description in RNAcentral is "bacterial SSU rRNA". It matches the Rfam family "Bacterial small subunit ribosomal RNA", at positions 28 to 490 of the family's 1533-position model. The record is from RNAcentral.
GACGAACGCUGGCGGCGUGCCUAAUACAUGCAAGUCGAACGCACUCUCGUUUAGAUUGAAGGAGCUUGCUCCUGAUUGAUAAACAUUUGAGUGAGUGGCGGACGGGUGAGUAACACGUGGGUAACCUGCCCUAAAGCGGGGGAUAACAUUUGGAAACAGAUGCUAAUACCGCAUAAAACCUAACACCGCAUGGUGUAGGGUUGAAAGAUGGUUUCGGCUAUCACUUUAGGAUGGACCCGCGGUGCAUUAGUUAGUUGGUGAGGUAAAGGCUCACCAAGACCGUGAUGCAUAGCCGACCUGAGAGGGGUAAUCGGCCACACUGGGACUGAGACACGGCCCAGACUCCUACGGGAGGCAGCAGUAGGGAAUCUUCCACAAUGGACGAAAGUCUGAUGGAGCAACGCCGCGUGAGUGAAGAAGGUUUUCGGAUCGUAAACUCUGUUGUUGGAGAAGAAUGUAUCUGAUAGUAACUGAUCAGGUAGUGACGGUAUCCAACCAGAAAG